GGGGGUGUGGCUGAGUAGUGAAGCACGUAGCUAGCGUGCAUGAGGCCCUGGGUUCCAUCUCCAGCACCCCCU
This 72-nucleotide transfer RNA is filed under the name Fukomys damarensis (Damara mole-rat). It matches the Rfam family "tRNA". Rfam says of the family: Transfer RNA (tRNA) molecules are approximately 80 nucleotides in length. Their secondary structure includes four short double-helical elements and three loops (D, anti-codon, and T loops). Lineage: Eukaryota; Metazoa; Chordata; Mammalia; Rodentia; Bathyergidae. The record is from Rfam by way of RNAcentral.